UGCUCAGCCAACCGUUUCCUACUGAGGGCUCUCUGUGUAACGUGGUCUAUGAAGAGUUCACUGUUAGCCUUAAACAGAUUGAAAUGAUCCAUGGGGGGAAAUCACACCAAACCCGAUGGCUGUCUGGAAGUGAUGUUCAGCGCCAGGCCCCUGAGCUGCUGCGGAAAGGCGGGCUGUGAAGGCAUCGGGGGCAUCUCAGAGAUCAUCUCAAGUAAUGGGGCCUGACUUCUGUGAUGAGUGAAAGAAUCCAGAACAGACUGAGGGCCUGAUCCUGCAAAGACCUUUGACUCCCUUACAAGGAGUGAAAAUUGCACAGCCUGAAGAUUAAGUUAUUGAAUUGGAUGCCCAUCCCAGGAUGAUGGUUGGCCGGGGCAUGAGGAAGUAAAAAGCAUAGGGCUUUGAGGAAAUCCAGAAUAGGGACUGUUUGAUGCCACAUCAUGGUGAACAUCCCCAGAUUAGACAGGAAUCUAAGGCUGAGGCAAUGGAUACUUCUGUUAUUGAUGGGCAGUCUUGUCUGUGAGUGGAAACUCCUGAGAAUCUUGCCUCUGGGCUUCAUCAUAGCUUCAUUAACUGUGGUGAGCUCUCUAGCCAACGUGUGACAAAUGUUACUGAGCAUGUAUUAUUUAUAAAGAACUGUCCUGGGUACAAGAGGUAUAAGGAAGGAUAGGCACAGUAUUGCUAGCCAGAAGUUCACGACGUGGUUAGGGAGAUACACCAUAUUCUUGUGAAAAGAUGAUAAGUCAGGAGCAACAGGGCAUGUAUAAGCCACAAACAGUAAGGGAAUGCUCUAGAAGUGCCCAGGCAGGAGUGAGAGCUGGUGGGUCAGGGAAGACUUGAGGAGAAGGAUAGGACUGGAGCUGGCCCUUGAAGGGUGGAGAAUUUCAGAGAUUGGAAAUGCCAAAGAGAGAUUAUUCCAGGUGGAGGCAUGCCAU
Molecule: non-coding RNA, 932 nt
Organism: Ceratotherium simum simum (southern white rhinoceros)
Lineage: Eukaryota; Metazoa; Chordata; Mammalia; Perissodactyla; Rhinocerotidae
Source: RefSeq, a predicted model, not a curated record